GCCCCUCUGUGCAGAGCUGCCACAGUGAUGUCAGUCUGGCUGGCUCCUCCAGUCCAGUCCAGGUAGGUGACACGCGGAGUUUCAGGAUGAUUGAGGUCAGGUAGGCACAUACAAUCAUAUAGAAGCUAAUUCCAUUUGGAUGCCAACAGCAGGAGCAGGGCUACUAGCUGAACUCCUGGAAUUAAAUUAGCCAGUCACAUUUUUUGGAACAAGCUUAAAUUAGCAAAGUGACCAGCACAGUGAUUAAAACAAAACCAUGAACUAUAUCAGUGCUUUACUUCAUAGGAUUGCAGAAUUUUUGAUCAUGUAUCAAAGUGUUAGAAAUAGAUUUAUUGUCUUAUGAAGUCACAUCCCUGGUCCUUUGAACUGAACAGCCUUUGCUGCCCCAGGUGGAGAAAGAAUAGAGUUAAAUACGUUCAUUAUGACGGCUGAUUGUAUCUGUUUCAGUUAUUUACAUGGGGGCUAAUUAAGUUUGAUGGGAAAUAUUCUGUAAAAACUGAAUUUAUCUUGUCAAGCAGAUGAAUGCAAAUCAACAGGUUUAAUACAGUUUUGACGUUCUCCACUGAUGGCAGGAAAAUUAAAACAUUCCUAAGUAAAUGAAUAGCCAGGAUGUUUCUGCAGAUAUAAUUGCUUUGAUUAUCAAUGAAGAGGACUAACAUGAAAACAAGAUGAAAUAAUAUUUUUCUGCAGGGAUUCCUUUACAUACAGGCUUCCCCAGGACUCAUUGCAGCUUAUUCAAUAAUUGCAUAGCUAUAAAUAUUCUGUCUGUCUUCUGCAAAGAAUCAUAUGGCUGCAGGCCUACAGGAGGAAACCCAAAACUGCACCACACCUGCCCAGAUUUACCCAUAAGUAUCUGUAGAAGGCUUCGAUACUGACAAGUUAAAUGCAAAAGUGCUUCCUGAUCCCCUGGAAUGGAAAUCAGAAGUGUCUUACUACAGCAGAAAGCAGUUUUCCAACAGAAAAUUUAGGGAGAAAGAAGUACAUUGAAAGCCAUUGUGCGGCAGCAUCCAGCUCCAGAAUGCUCAGCAUAGGAACAGCAUUGACCUGUUGGAGCAAACCCAGAGCAAGACACCAAGAUGAGUAGAGGGAUGGAGAACAUCUCCUG
This is a non-coding RNA of Cyanistes caeruleus (blue tit), 1105 nucleotides long. The record is from RefSeq and is a predicted model, not a curated record. Lineage: Eukaryota; Metazoa; Chordata; Aves; Passeriformes; Paridae.